ACACGCCAAUUUAUUGCAUAAUAGUAACUGAUUUUUUAGUUAUUUAAUAUAUAAUUAUUCACUACAAGAAAUAUGAGUAUUGGUAGCAGUUCACUGUAGCACGAAUUCACGAAGUGCUACUAAUACAGUCAAAAUUGGAUCAUAAUUCUAUGGUAGCACUAAAUUCGUGCUAGCAAAAAUUUUCAUUAAGCUGAGACCCAAAAAUGACUUUUAUAGCGGGAUAUUUAUGUUGGAGCCAAAACACUUAGCGAAAUUUCUGAUUUUGGCGGAUCUACACUUUUUUUUUUGCUAAAGUCAUUUUUUCAUUCAUCACCCACCAAAAAAAAAAAUUAUUCUCAUCAAUCUCUCAUCGAUCUUCUGUUCUUUCUAUUUUCAGAUCUCAUCUCCCCUCUGUUCUUAAUCAUCUGUCUCUCUAUCUUACUCUCCUAACCUCACUCACACCCACACGAUUUCUCAACACAGACAUCUCUCUCUGUUUCACUCUCCUAGUCUCGUCUUCAUCUUGUUCGAGCACUGGUAUGUUGCAGAAAAUUCGACGAAUUCGACGGAUCUAACCGCGCUCGCACCGGAUUCGUGAGCCAUCUCGAAGUUCCCAAAGUAUCCGACUGUAACAGUCGUAAUCUCUCUCUCUCUCUCUCGUCCCUUUUCUCUCGAUAAGCCCUUAAUCGAAGGUCUUUAUUGAUUUGUUAUUUUGCGGAGAGCAAGUAUGAAAAGGUGACCUUGAAGCAUAACCACAAGUUCCUUAUAAAGGUUAAGGAGCACCAAGAAGGCAAAGGAUGCUAAGAAGCUCGGGCUUAACCGUAACCAUGUGUAAUCUCUGUCUCAGAUUGAGAUUGUAGUCAGCUUGACCCUUGACUCAAGCGUAAACCUUUCUCCGGUUUGUAUAAUCUCCGAUUGAGAUUUUAGAUGAAGGGUUUGUUGUUUUGAUUCUAUUACUCUCGAGGAUUCGUAGAUUAUUGAACCAUGGAGACUCGGUGAUGGAUAUAAGGAGUUCUUUCUUGAUGCCCCAGACUCGGUGAAGGUAUAUACAUUGAUAACGAGAUGAUUUGUCUUUGAUAUAUUCAAUCAUAUCUUUGCUGUGGGAAUGUUUGUAGUUUACCUGCAGGGUCCAAACAAACAAAUUUAUUGGCUUGUUAAAUCUAUUCAGUGUGUACUUGAUAUUCUAAAGAAUGCUGAUAGCAAUGCUGAGGUUACUUUGGAGUUUUGACUCCAUUACUCUUUGUUCUGUUUAAUUGAAUUGGCCCUUGUGUUCAGGGAUGCUGGUGUCUCAGCCAUUGCUUCCCACCUUACCCGUUCUAUGGCAGUCAGUACAUCGUUUGAUGGGGACUUCAAGGUAGUUCUUAAACUGAUUUUAUAUUGUGUCUAAAGUCUAUCUUUGCAAGAUUGCUAUUGACAUCAUCACUUUUUGUCGUAUCAGAUUUGGGUUUGCAACAGUGAGAAGAGCCAGAAGGCUAAAGACUCUAGCUGAAUAUGUCAUGCAGUUGGUUCUUAUAUGUAAUAUCUUUUAUAAGCAUUAGGAAUCUUAAACAUUCACAACUGAUUCACGGAUGGGAGUAAUGUAUUACACGUUGGGGAGGUUUAUGUAUAUUUUGGUGCACUCUACAGCACUUGAGAUGGUUUAGUUUAUUAAUUAUCCAAGAACAUACAAGAUAUAUAAAUGUAUAUCUAAAAUACUAUUAAUCAUACUCUAAACCCUUAAUUUUUAAUAUUUCAUCAUAAAAUCCAAAGAUACCAACAAAUAAUAUGAUAUAAUUAAAAUCUAACACUAAUAAUAAACUAGAAAUUUUUUUUUGCUUCAAAUUCUAAACCCUAAACAUACCAUAAUUCCAACAUCCAGCACUUACAAUAAACUUCAAAAUGAACAUUUGUAGAAAUUUAUAACUAAAACAAAAGCAUAUUACUUUAAAAAUAUAUAAAUUUUCAACAUGUAAUUUAAAAAAAAAAAACAAAACCUAAACCUAAACCCUAAUGUUUGAUGUCAGUGUAAUACUUGGAAAGAUUCUAUGUAAGAUGUAUCUAUUAUGAAUUUAAUGCAAUAUAUGUUUUAGUUAUAAAUCAAUUUGCAAUUUGCAAUUUAUAAUUUAUAAAAUAUAAUCUUAAAUUUAAAUUCUAAAUCUCAAACACUAAAUCUUUAAUCUACCCCCUAUAUCUAAUACCCCAAACCUCAAACCUAUGAUAUAAAUUUAAAAACCAAACUCCAAUUAUAUUCAAAAACUCAAACCAUAUACUUGAUCCUAAAUCUUAACCAUGUACCUAAUAGAACUUAUAUCCAAUAUAUAAAAAAAAUUAAUAGUUAAAAUCCUAUUUUUUAAAAGAUUAAUUUCAUAUUCUAAAUAUAUACUUUAAACAAUCAUCCCCCAAACUCUAAACCCUGAAUGAUAAAUCUAAUCUCCAAAUAUAUUUAUUUUCAUUUUAACUCAAAAUCUUAAAUGUAAACUUUAAAUCUAUUUCCAAACUUUAAUUUCUGAUUUUCAACUUAAACCCUAAACUCUAUUUCAUAUACCUCAAUAUCAAUAACAAAGUUUAAAAUUUAAAAUUUAAAACUAUAAAUUUAAUUCUAAAGAUUAAUUUUUAACAUUUAAAUUGUGAAAUCUAAAUCUUAUUUUUUCUCAAAAUUUUAUCAUAAAUAUUCUAUAUAUUAAACACACAAAAUAGAAAAGAAAAAAUGGUGUUCCAAGAAAAAAGAAUAAAAAAACAACAACAAAACAAUCUGAUUGAUGUUCUUCGUAUUAUCAAUAAGCCUACUGCUACUUCUUUGGUUUAUGCUUUUGAAAGGAGAAGCAAUUAAAUAAUUAUUGUCUUUGAUCUUGGUGGUGGUAUCUUGUCUCUGGUACUUUACAUUAAAUUGUUGCUAUAUAUAUAUUAGUUUGAUAAAACGGUUACAAUUUUGUAAACAAAUUUUGAUUUAUAAAAACUCAAUUGCAAUGUAUCUCAAUUGGUGACAAAAAAAAAAGAAAAAAAAAUCUAAUCAGGGGUAUAUGAUUAAAUUGCAAUGUAUAAAUGAUAAUUAAACAUUUAGAUUAAAUUUAAUAUUUGAACUUAAAUAAUGAACAGUAGAGUUUUAAGAUUUUUAGUUAGAUUUGGGUAUAUGAUUAAUUUGGGGUUUAAACCCUUACCCUAAACAUAAACAUUAAAAUUUCAAUAUUUUCAUAAUAUAAUUUCGAUCUUAAAUUUAAAUUUAAAGUUUAAUAGUUUUAAAAAUAGAAUCUCAAAUUUAAAUUAUAACCCUCAAACAUUAAAUCUUAAAUCUAUACCCUAUUUAUAAUACCCUAAACCCCAAACUUAAAUCUUACAUACAAAGUCAUAAAUCUAUUUUUUUAAUUUAUAAUAUAAAUUUUAAACUUAGACUCCAAAUAUAUUCUAAAACUCAAACCAUAUACUUAAUUAUAAAUCUUAACCCUAAACCCUAAACCACAUACUUCAUAUUAACCUACAUCAUAAAUCCUAAUUUACAAAUUUCAAAAAUUUAAAUAUAGGUUUUGGAAUUUAGACUUUGAAUAUAUAUUCCAAACCAUAUACAAUAACUCUAAAUCUUAUACACCAAAUCAUAAAAUCCAAACAUCAAAUUUAACCUUUUCAAAUUUAAACACCAAAACCUAAACAUAGAUACUAAUCAAAAAAUUUCAAAUUGUAUUCUCAAAUUUUACUCUAAACCCCAAACCUAAGACUCCAAAUAAACUUUAAUCAUGAACAUUAACCUUAUAGUUAAAACUUUUAAAUUAGACUAAACUUUUAACUUUAAUCAUAGUCAUUAAUCAAAUCCUAUAUUAUAAAUCUAUUAUUUAAAUUUAAAUUCAUUUGUUUAAACCCCAUAUAAACCCUUUCAUAUUUAAGUGAAUUAGAAGCUUAUUUGAUGACCAAAGAAAAAGAAUUAACAGCUUAAUUCUGAUUGGACCAAAAAGUGAGGCGUGGAUCACCAUUUUUCGAAUCUCUGCCGUUGGUAAUAUUAAUCUUACGGCUCAGAUUAAUUCACUAUUAAUAUUUUAUGUUUGUUUUAUCUCUUUCUUCCUUUCUUCUUCCUCCACACGAUUCUAUACUUCUUAUUUUCUUCUUCUGUACCUCUUUGAUCUCCUCAUCUAAUCUCAUCUCUCUUAUCCUCUUCCCAUCUCUCUUUCUCCUCUGCUCAUCUUUCAUUUACUUUUCUUCUUUCAAGCAAAUGGAUCUGAACGAAGAGGAUUACCACCGUCAUGCUUCUCACCACCAUGCUCCUUUCUAUUCGGUUUCGCUCUUCACCACCACCGCCACCGCACGCUCGUCAACACCACCACCAGUCACGAAAGUGGAGGAGGCACAAGAUUGAUGAAUGAGGCACAAUAGAUUGAUGGAGGAGGUAGCAGUGGUGGGUCGUGAGCAGACCCGGCUUGAAUGUUGAAGACGAAGAAGCUCGGUGAGGAGGCGGCAGGCGGCGGAGAAUAUACAUUAGGUUUAGAUUAGGGUUAGGUAUAUUUUUAAUUUGGUUUAGUAUGCUAAACCGAUUUUAUUUAUUAAUAGUUUGAAUCUUUUUUAUGUUUGUGUUUUGAAAUCUGGGUUCCGCGGAGGAGGCGGAGGGAAGGAGUUAGGGUUUUUUUAGAUUUUGUUUUUAAACCUGGUUUGUAUGUAAACUGGUUUAGUUUGUAAACCGAAUUUUUUUGUAAUCUGGUUUAAUUUAUAAACCGAUUGUAAACCAAAAUUUUAAUAUAAACCAAAAUUAUUUA
Molecule: long non-coding RNA, 4694 nt
Organism: Brassica napus (rape)
Lineage: Eukaryota; Viridiplantae; Streptophyta; Magnoliopsida; Brassicales; Brassicaceae
Exons: 2
Source: RefSeq, a predicted model, not a curated record